Molecule: ribosomal RNA, 419 nt
Filed under: uncultured bacterium
Lineage: Bacteria
Description: partial 16S ribosomal RNA
Rfam family: Bacterial small subunit ribosomal RNA
Source: RNAcentral
UGGGGAAUUUUGGACGAAUUGGGCGAAAGCCUGAUCCAGCAAUGCCGCGUGUGUGAAGAAGGCCUUCGGGUUGUAAAGCAUCUUUUGUCCGGAAAGAAAUCCUUGGCUCUAAUACAGUCGGGGGAUGACGGUACCGGAAGAAUAAGCACCGGCUAACUACGUGCCAGCAGCCGCGGUAAUACGUAGGGUGCAAGCGUUAAUCGGAAUUACUGGGCGUAAAGCGUGCGCAGGCGGUUUGCUAAGACCGAUGUGAAAUCCCCGGGCUCAACCUGGGAACUGCAUUGGUGACUGGCAGGCUAGAGUAUGGCAGAGGGGGGUAGAAUUCCACGUGUAGCAGUGAAAUGCGUAGAGAUGUGGAGGAAUACCGAUGGCGAAGGCAGCCCCCUGGGCAAGUACUGACGCUCAUGCACGAAAAGCGU